RNAcentral lists this unclassified non-coding RNA (21 nucleotides) under Mus musculus (house mouse). RNAcentral describes it as "oocyte_clustered_small_RNA5495". Lineage: Eukaryota; Metazoa; Chordata; Mammalia; Rodentia; Muridae. The record is from RNAcentral.
UGUGCAGACAUCCUUGUGGAG